RNAcentral lists this ribosomal RNA (402 nucleotides) under uncultured bacterium. Its description in RNAcentral is "bacterial SSU rRNA". It matches the Rfam family "Bacterial small subunit ribosomal RNA", at positions 355 to 774 of the family's 1533-position model. The record is from RNAcentral.
UAGGGAAUAUUGCAAAAUGGGCGAAAGCCCGAUGCAGCAACGCCACGUGGGCGAUGAAGCCCUUCGGGGCGUAAAGCUCUUUCGACCGGAACGAUAAUGACGGUACCGGGAGAAGAAGCUGCGGCUAACUACGUGCCAGCAGCCGCGGUAAUACGUAGGCAGCAAGCGUUGUUCGGAGUUACUGGGCGUAAAGAGUGCGUAGGCGGUUUUCUAAGUUCGGUGUGAAAUCUCCCGGCUUAACUGGGAGGGUGCGCCGAAGACUGGGAAGCUGGAGUGUGGGAAAGGCAAGCGGAAUUCCUGGUGUAGCGGUGAAAUGCGUAGAUAUCAGGAGGAACACCGGCGGUGUAGACGGCUUGCUAGACCAUAACUGACGCUGAGGCACGAAAGCGUGGGUAGCAAACA